UACGAAGGGGGCUAGCGUUGUUCGGAUUUACUGGGCGUAAAGCGCACGUAGGCGGAUUGUUAAGUCAGGGGUGAAAUCCUGGAGCUCAACUCCAGAACUGCCUUUGAUACUGGCAAUCUCGAGUCCGGAAGAGGUGAGUGGAACUCCUAGUGUAGAGGUGGAAUUCGUAGAUAUUCGGAGGAACACCAGUGGCGAAGGCGGCUCACUGGUCCGGUACUGACGCUGAGGUGCGAAAGCCAGGGGAGCGAACGGG
This 253-nucleotide ribosomal RNA is filed under the name uncultured bacterium. RNAcentral describes it as "partial 16S ribosomal RNA". It matches the Rfam family "Bacterial small subunit ribosomal RNA", at positions 524 to 776 of the family's 1533-position model. The record is from RNAcentral.